This 1417-nucleotide long non-coding RNA is filed under the name Salmo salar (Atlantic salmon). Its description in RNAcentral is "lncRNA (ENSSSAG00000105273.1)". The record is from RNAcentral. Lineage: Eukaryota; Metazoa; Chordata; Actinopteri; Salmoniformes; Salmonidae.
GAAGUCUCCAUCCUCUAUGUUGUACAUGAACACUUCUGAAAGUGUUUUUGUUAAGAGAGGGAUGUGAUCUUAGAAAUUAUACGAGGAAACUGUUUCUAUAAUGAGGUCAGAGAACAUGUCAGCCUGACUAACCGCCCCAAUUUAAAGAACUGUAUAAAAUGAGGAGUUAAAAAUGAACAUUUCAGACCAGAGAGGCGUGUCGCUGCAGCUCACGUCCAAAGGGGUUUGAACAUUGAAAUCUCAACACAAGGUAGAGACGAUAAGUCACCUCCUGGACAAUCACUGGUACAGCUGUCUAGCUGUCCUAAGUAUCUAGAAAAGUGAACUUAAGUGGGACCAUUCCACUACUCUUCUCAAAUCACUGUAGUACGCUACUCUCAUCACCCAACGGGAACCAUCGACAUGACUGGCUAGCCUAUCUUCAACCAGGACCUUGAGCAUGGCUGAGGAGCACCCGUGACCAGCUCGGAAACCAGAUUGCACAGUGGAGAAGGUACGGUGGGAUUCGAAAUGGUCAGUGAUCUGUUUAUUAACUUGGCUUUCAAAGACUUUAGAAAGGCAGGGCAGGAUGCAUAUAGGUCUAUAACAGUUUGGGUCUAGAGUGUCUCCCCCUUUGAAGAGGGGGAUGACAGCGGCAGCUUUCCAAUCUUUAGGGAUCUUGGAGUCUUGAACAGACUGGUAAUAGGGGUUGCAACAAUGGCGGCGGAUAAUUUUAGAAAGAGAGGGUCCAGAUUGUCUAGCCCAGCUGAUUUGUACGGGUCCAGGUUUUGCAGCUCUUUCAGAACAUCUGCUAUCUGGAUUUGGGUGAAGAAGCAUGGUGGCUAGGAAUCACCCCCUAGAAAGGCAGGAACCUAGGAAGAAACCUAGAGAGGAACCAGGCUCUGAGAGGUGGCCAGUCCUCUUCUGGCUGUGCCGGGUGGAGAUUAUAACAGUACAUGGCCAUUAAGGCCAGCUCGUUCUUCAAGAUGAUCAAACAUUCAUAGAUGACCAGCAGGGUCAAAUAAUAAUAAUCACAGUGGUUACAGAGGGUGCAACAGGUCAGCACCUCAGCAGUAAAUAUCAGUUGUCUUUUCAUUCAGAGGCCCGAGGCCACAGGUGCGGGACAAGGCAGCACGACCGGUGAACAGGUCAGGGUUCCAUAGCCGCAGGCAGAACAGCAGAAACUGGAUCAGCACCUCAACCAGGUGGACUGGGGACAGGGACAGCCAGGAGUCGUCAGGCCAGGUAGUCCUGAGACAUGAUCCUAAGGCUUAGGUCCUCCGGGUUGGGGGAGAGAGAGAGAGAGAGAGGUGGGAGAAUUAGAGGGACCAUACCUAAGAUUACACAGGACACGAGAUAAGACAGGAGAAUUACACCAGAUAGGACAGACUGACCCUAGCCCCACAGCACAUAGACUAUUCCAGCAUAGAUACUGGAG